RNAcentral lists this ribosomal RNA (822 nucleotides) under uncultured Bacillus sp. Its description in RNAcentral is "bacterial SSU rRNA". It matches the Rfam family "Bacterial small subunit ribosomal RNA", at positions 58 to 861 of the family's 1533-position model. The record is from RNAcentral. Lineage: Bacteria; Bacillati; Bacillota; Bacilli; Caryophanales; Bacillaceae.
CAAGUCGAGCGAAUCAAUAGGAGCUUGCUCCUGUUGAUUAGCGGCGGACGGGUGAGUAACACGUGGGCAACCUGCCUGUAAGACUGGGAUAACUUCGGGAAACCGGAGCUAAUACCGGAUAAUCCUUUUCCUCUCAUGAGGGAAAGCUGAAAGUCGGUUUCGGCUGACACUUACAGAUGGGCCCGCGGCGCAUUAGCUAGUUGGUGAGGUAACGGCUCACCAAGGCGACGAUGCGUAGCCGACCUGAGAGGGUGAUCGGCCACACUGGGACUGAGACACGGCCCAGACUCCUACGGGAGGCAGCAGUAGGGAAUCUUCCGCAAUGGACGAAAGUCUGACGGAGCAACGCCGCGUGAGCGAUGAAGGCCUUCGGGUCGUAAAGCUCUGUUGUUAGGGAAGAACAAGUAUCGGAGUAACUGCCGGUACCUUGACGGUACCUAACCAGAAAGCCACGGCUAACUACGUGCCAGCAGCCGCGGUAAUACGUAGGUGGCAAGCGUUGUCCGGAAUUAUUGGGCGUAAAGCGCGCGCANGCGGUCCUUUAAGUCUGAUGUGAAAGCCCACGGCUCAACCGUGGAGGGUCAUUGGAAACUGGGGGACUUGAGUGCAGAAGAGGAAAGCGGAAUUCCACGUGUAGCGGUGAAAUGCGUAGAGAUGUGGAGGAACACCAGUGGCGAAGGCGGCUUUCUGGUCUGUAACUGACGCUGAGGCGCGAAAAGCGUGGGGAGCAAACAGGAUUAGAUACCCUGGUAGUCCACGCCGUAAACGCUGAGUGCUAAGUGUUAGAGGGUUUCCGCCCUUUAGUGCUGCAGCUAACGCAUU